Molecule: long non-coding RNA, 974 nt
Organism: Salarias fasciatus (jewelled blenny)
Lineage: Eukaryota; Metazoa; Chordata; Actinopteri; Blenniiformes; Blenniidae
Exons: 5
Source: RefSeq, a predicted model, not a curated record
CAUAGAGCCCAUCGAGAAAUAUGACUGAAACCAGUUCAGUGCUGAAUCUUUAAUGGCUGAGGCCGAGGACUGGUGAGUGUUGGAGCCACGAUCCAAGAAGAAACAUCCAGGAAGACAUCAGAAAGAUGAGCUGCAGAAACUGUAACUACACACAAAUUCACUGUGUGCUCUGCAUUUUCUUCUGUUGAGGAAAGAGGUCAGAAGUCCAGUGAUUCUGCUCACUCAGACUUUGUUCCAAGCAUCAAGCCUCAGGAGGAAUGUGCAAACAAUGAUUCCAAAACAGAACGUUAUGAAAGACCUCAGAGAAGGAAGGCCACCAGUGCAGUUACAUCAGGUUGAAAAGAAAAACAUGCUGGUCAGUAGACGGUGACAGGGAUGCCUUAACAUUCAUGAUCUGGAUGUUUGCUGACAAGGACACCAAGGCUGAUGGUUCAACAGACAGGCUGACGUCGCAGCACCGUGCAUCAUUGCAAUAUUGUUUAAAUCAGCAGGGUGCACUGUCUCGCGUUUCACUUUUAUUCUCUAUCUCUCUUCUAUCUACUUUAAAACAUGGUUUGAGCGUGCUCCGGGAACAACCCCUCGAAACAUAGGACUAUGAUUUGCUGCAUUUCCAGCGUGGAAACAAAGCCAAGACUGCAGAUGUCUGAACCAACUGAAGCUCGCCCAGUGGCCUGGAUAUCUGCAGUCUGAUGCUGAAACACCACAUUUAAGACUGACAGUCGACAGCGGUUGGGUGACCUGCGUAAGAAAUGAACGUUUAUUAUUGGAUAAAGUCAUUAAAAAGCAAGAAGUGAGUGCUGUGCUGGGAAUUCCAAUGAGCUGCGUCUUCCCAGUGAAGAGCUGCAGCUCAGAAAUCGAAACUGAUGAAGAGACGGAUUCACUUGAUACUGAGCACAAUGAGAAAGAUGUUUGUCUACAGAGGAGACUUCCUGAAGGACCAGUUGGCUUCAUGCAUGACUGAAAAUAGCGAUGCU